Molecule: ribosomal RNA, 301 nt
Filed under: uncultured bacterium
Lineage: Bacteria
Description: partial 16S ribosomal RNA
Rfam family: Bacterial small subunit ribosomal RNA
Source: RNAcentral
CAGUCGCCGCGGGAAUACAGAGGGUGCGAGCGUUAAUCGGAUUUACUGGGCGUAAAGCGUGCGUAGGCGGCUUUUUAAGUCGGAUGUGAAAUCCCUGAGCUUAACUUAGGAAUUGCAUUCUAUACUGGGAAGCUAGAGUAUGGGAGAGGAUGGUAGAAUUCCAGGUGUAGCGGUGAAAUGCGUAGAGAUCUGGAGGAAUACCGAUGGCGAAGGCAGCCAUCUGGCCUAAUACUGACGCUGAGGUACGAAAGCAUGGGGAGCAAACAGGAUUAGAGACCCCCGUAGUCCCUGUCUCUUAUCC